ACUGCUGCUAAUUAAAGGCUUGC
RNAcentral lists this microRNA (23 nucleotides) under Monodelphis domestica (gray short-tailed opossum). RNAcentral describes it as "mdo-miR-7373a-3p". Lineage: Eukaryota; Metazoa; Chordata; Mammalia; Didelphimorphia; Didelphidae. The record is from miRBase by way of RNAcentral.